Molecule: ribosomal RNA, 451 nt
Filed under: uncultured organism
Description: partial 16S ribosomal RNA
Rfam family: Bacterial small subunit ribosomal RNA
Source: RNAcentral
ACACUCCUACGGGAGGCAGCAGUGGGGAAUAUUGGACAAUGGGCGCAAGCCUGAUCCAGCCAUGCCGCGUGAGUGAUGAAGGCCCUAGGGUUGUAAAGCUCUUUCACCGGUGAAGAUAAUGACGGUAACCGGAGAAGAAGCCCCGGCUAACUUCGUGCCAGCAGCCGCGGUAAUACGAAGGGGGCUAGCGUUGUUCGGAUUUACUGGGCGUAAAGCGCACGUAGGCGGACUAUUAAGUCAGGGGUGAAAUCCCGGGGCUCAACCCCGGAACUGCCUUUGAUACUGGUAGUCUUUAGUUCGAGAGAGGUGAGAGGAAUUCCGAGUGUAGAGGGGAAAUUCGUAGAUAUUCGGAGGAACACCAGUGGCGAAGGCGGCUCACUGGCUCGAUACUGACGCUGAGGUGCGAAAGCGUGGGGAGCAAACAGGGUUAGAUACCCCAGUAGUCCCAUGA